GUCUUUAAGAUAAUUAAUUUAAAGUCAAAUCUGCCCACUGAAAAUUUUUAAACGGCUGCAGAAAUUCUGUACAAAGGUAGCAUAAUAAUUUGUUUUUUAAUUAAAAACUAGAAUGAAAGAUUAAAUGAAAUAUAAACUUUUUCAAUUAAAUAUUUAUUAAAUUUUUUAUUUAAGUAAAAAAACUUAAAUAAAAAUUAAAGACGACAAGACCCUAUAGAAUUUUAUUUAUAUUAUUUUUAUUUUAAAAUAAAAUAAAUUUUAUUGGGGCAAUAAAAAAAUUUAAAUAAUUUAUUUUAAAUUUUACAUCCAAAAAUGUUCUUAAAACCUUAAUUUUUAAACCAAAUAAAUUAAUUACCUUAGGGAUAACAGCAUAAUUUUUCUUAAAAGAUCAUAUUUACAGAAAAGUUUAU
Molecule: ribosomal RNA, 410 nt
Filed under: Euurobracon breviterebrae
Lineage: Eukaryota; Metazoa; Arthropoda; Insecta; Hymenoptera; Braconidae
Description: partial 16S ribosomal RNA
Source: RNAcentral